This 469-nucleotide ribosomal RNA is filed under the name uncultured bacterium. RNAcentral's name for it is "partial 16S ribosomal RNA". It matches the Rfam family "Bacterial small subunit ribosomal RNA", at positions 28 to 507 of the family's 1533-position model. The record is from RNAcentral.
GACGAACGCUGGCGGCGUGCUUAACACAUGCAAGUCGAACGGGAAGGCCCUGCUUGCAGGGUGCUCGAGUGGCGAACGGGUGAGUAACACGUGGGUGAUCUGCCCCUUACUUUGGGAUAAGCCUGGGAAACUGGGUCUAUUACUGGAUAGGACCAUGCUGUAGGUGGUGUGGUGGAAAGAUUAGUUUCGGUAAGGGAUGAGCUCGCGGCCUAUCAGCUUGUUGGUGGGGUAAUGGCCUACCAAGGCGUCGACGGGUAGCCGGCCUGAGAGGGUGGACGGCCACAUUGGGACUGAGAUACGGCCCAGACUCCUACGGGAGGCAGCAGUGGGGAAUAUUGCACAAUGGGCGCAAGCCUGAUGCAGCGACGCCGCGUGGGGGAUGACGGCCUUCGGGUUGUAAACUCCUUUCAGCCAUGACGAAGCCCUUGUGGUGACGGUAGUGGUAGAAGAAGCACCGGCUAACUACGUG